UAACUUAAUGGUAGAGUAUUUCGCUUACAACGAAAAGGUUAGUAGUUCAAAUCU
Molecule: transfer RNA, 54 nt
Filed under: Emiliania huxleyi
Lineage: Eukaryota; Haptophyta; Isochrysidales; Noelaerhabdaceae
Description: partial tRNA
Rfam family: tRNA
About the family: Transfer RNA (tRNA) molecules are approximately 80 nucleotides in length. Their secondary structure includes four short double-helical elements and three loops (D, anti-codon, and T loops).
Source: RNAcentral